This 27-nucleotide small RNA is filed under the name Bombyx mori (domestic silkworm). RNAcentral describes it as "ovarian small RNA-32304". Lineage: Eukaryota; Metazoa; Arthropoda; Insecta; Lepidoptera; Bombycidae. The record is from RNAcentral.
UGAGUUGUCAUUGAAGUGAAUGAUCUA